RNAcentral lists this ribosomal RNA (497 nucleotides) under uncultured bacterium. RNAcentral describes it as "partial 16S ribosomal RNA". It matches the Rfam family "Bacterial small subunit ribosomal RNA", at positions 28 to 507 of the family's 1533-position model. The record is from RNAcentral.
GAUGAACGCUGGCGGCGUGCCUAAUACAUGCAAGUCGAGCGAACGGACGAGAAGCUUGCUUUUCUGAUGUUAGCGGCGGACGGGUGAGUAACACGUGGAUAACCUACCUAUAAGACUGGGAUAACUUCGGGAAACCGGAGCUAAUACCGGAUAAUAUUUUGAACCGCAUGGCUCAAAAGUGAAAGACGGUCUUGCUGUCACUUAUAGAUGGAUCCGCGCUGCAUUAGCUAGUUGGUAAGGUAACGGCUUACCAAGGCAACGAUGCAUAGCCGACCUGAGAGGGUGAUAGGCCACACUGGAACUGAGACACGGUCCAGACUCCUACGGGAGGCAGCAGUAGGGAAUCUUCCGCAAUGGGCGAAAGCCUGACGGAGCAACGCCGCGUGAGUGAUGAAGGUCUUCGGAUCGUAAAACUCUGUUAUUAGGGAAGAACAUAUGUGUAAGUAACUGUGCACAUCUUGACGGUACCUAAUCAGAAAGCCACGGCUAACUACGUG